CUGUAAAAUAUUCAGUGGCAAGGCUGAGAGAGCACAAGACAUGCGGGUCAGCACUCCUGCAUCUUCUGCCUUUCUUUCUCCCACAGUCCCAGGCUUCUUGGGGCUGCAAGUCCAUUUUUAAUGCUUGAGCCGACCGUGUUCUGUGUGGUGAUUAAGACCAGACUUUGGAUUUUAACAUGGAGGUUCCACCCCGGUGGAGAGAGUGAAAAAAAAGUUAGAGUUGCCAUGGAAACCAAUGGAUUUGAAGUGCUUAGUACACUGCAUCGGUACAGAUGGAGUUCAAGAAAUGGUAUUUAUUAUUAAGAUUAGCUACAAAUUUUCCUCAGACUAUCUUCAAAAGUUUUUCAGGGGAAGCAGCACAGGAUAUGGCCAAGUGUCCAGCACAGUGUAGUUGCUCAACACAUGUACAGUCAUAUCUUGGCACUGGACGGCUUUGAAACUCUUUGGUUUUUUUUCCUUAAAUUUUUUUAUUGGUACAUUUUAGAGUGAAUUGAGAUUCUCUUGGUGUGUUCAUCCUCCUGAAACAGGUUUUCUACAUCUUCAUGGAGGAAGGUGUUAGUUCUUAAGCACCAACCUCUGAAGAGUGAUCCCUAAACUUUGGCUGGUAGAUGAUCACUGAGCAUUUCUGACUCGAUGGAGCAAAGGAGCUGGGGUUCUUGAAAAUACCAGAUGCCUGGGCAGUGUUUGCAUGUAUUGGUUUGGCUGGCUUGUGACUACUCAGAUAACCAAGGGGUGAAUAUUACUGAGCAUAAUGUAGGUAGAAUUGAUGGCCUUGCAUGCUGACCUCAGAACACUGAUCUUUAGGAACUGUGAUGAAGGAAGCCCUAAACCCUGGAUGGGACAGGUUAUGGGCAACUUAAGCACAGUGAAGGCCAGAGGGCCAAUCCCCAAAUGUUGGGGACUAGAAAGUGUGAUGGGUUAUUUGUCAACAGGAGAGCGGAUAGGGGACCCCAGGGUAAUUAAUGACUGCUAUUGGGCUUCCUGGCACUCUGUCAUUGGGAAUCACAGGUAGUUUUUACUCGAUUUAGACAAAUGAAACGAUGCAGCAUUUCUUGGGAGCCAGUGUGGAAUAAAUUCUCACUGAGUACAUUGAUAAGCAACAAGUAUGGUCAGGCUUCAUCUGUAGUAUAUGACGAAUGAGAGUCGAAAUUGUUCUCAUUCCCUCUGGGUGAAAGGCAGAGUCUGAGACACACAAUUUAUUAAUUAUAGAGUGUGAAUCCUGGAGUCAAGGCAAGAGCAGAGUUGUUGGUUCCUUCAGACCAUCUUGGGCCCGGAAGGCAAGUUACUAAACCCUUCUGACGGUGUUUCUUUACCUGUAAAGUACAGAUAGGAGGAGAAUCUCUCACAGAGUGUUGUUGGUCAUAAGAGGUAAAUGAUAGAAUCAUAUCUGGCUUGCAUAAUCAAUCAAUUGGUAGCUGUUAUUACUAAUAGUAUUAUGAUUGCAUGGCAGCUGUUGAAGGAAGCUUUGGCUUCCCUAACAUAGUUGCUGAAGAUCAGUAGGGGGAGGUCAGUAUGCGGGGCCAUAAGCUUUCCCACAUUAUUCUCAGCCAUGUUCACCACAGAGCGAUCUGGGGUGCUUAAGGGCCAAUUAUAUGUUGGCUUAAAAACAUCUUUUGACAAUGGCUAUGCAAUUUCAUGGAGAUGCUCUGAACAUAAGGAGCUCUGCCAUGUUGGGAAACAGCCAAGGAAAAGUUAAGGAGAUAGGACAUUUGGGGAAAAUUUGAAGACAACUGUUUUUCUUUGGAGGUAGUAGAGAACAUAAAGGGGAGUUAAAAUUUUGGAAGAAUGGAAAUAUUGGAACUUCAUUUAUAAUCCUCUUUAGGGACCUAAAUACAUUUUAUUCUUUUAGAAAAAUAAAUAAUUUGUCAUAAAUUGUUCUGUUUAUUUUUUCCCUUUGGAGAUCCAAAGUACUGGCAGUGGAUAAGGACAGAAACCACUAAACAUUUAGAGCAGUGUUUUCUUUACUGUUUUCCUGUUUUCUUGAGAGGUUAAAACAAAGCAGAACAAAAAUCUUGUUUAGAAACAUCUCUUAGCACAUUUGGUUUUUGGGGGCCCUUAAUCCUGGAGCCCACACAGGAUCAUU
Molecule: non-coding RNA, 2083 nt
Organism: Heterocephalus glaber (naked mole-rat)
Lineage: Eukaryota; Metazoa; Chordata; Mammalia; Rodentia; Bathyergidae
Source: RefSeq, a predicted model, not a curated record